Molecule: ribosomal RNA, 404 nt
Filed under: bacterium
Lineage: Bacteria
Description: partial 16S ribosomal RNA
Rfam family: Bacterial small subunit ribosomal RNA
Source: RNAcentral
UGGGGAAUAUUGGACAAUGGGCGAAAGCCUGAUCCAGCCAUGCCGCGUGAGUGAUGAAGGCCCUAGGGUUGUAAAGCUCUUUUAGCGGGGAAGAUAAUGACGGUACCCGCAGAAUAAGCCCCGGCUAACUUCGUGCCAGCAGCCGCGGUAAUACGAAGGGGGCUAGCGUUGCUCGGAAUCACUGGGCGUAAAGGGCGCGGAGGCGGCCAUUCAAGUCGGGGGUGAAAGCCCAGGGCUCAACCCUGGAAUUGCCUUCGAUACUGUUUGGCUAGAGACCGGAAGAGGUAAGUGGAACUGCGAGUGUAGAGGUGAAAUUCGUAGAUAUUCGCAAGAACACCAGUGGCGAAGGCGGCUUACUGGUCCGGUUCUGACGCUGAGGCGCGAAAGCGUGGGGAGCAAACAGG